This 308-nucleotide long non-coding RNA is filed under the name Drosophila guanche. The record is from RNAcentral. Lineage: Eukaryota; Metazoa; Arthropoda; Insecta; Diptera; Drosophilidae.
GUUCGGUCUCUUUCGUAGUGACCAGACGUGAGUUUGUUUUGCGCUCUGUAUUUUCCUUUCUAAUUUCGAUAAACGACAGGUGUUUUUUUUUCAAAAAAACUCUUGUAAAUGUUACUGAGUAACUUGCCACUUUCGCGAGUGCAUGCAUAUUAUUUGUCUGAAAUUAAAAUGUAAUCUUAUUCAUUUGUGCGUCGGUUAGUCGUGUGUUUGUGCUGUUUCUUUUCGUAAGUACUUUCGUUAUUGCGUUUACUGUCUACUCUGUAGUUUAAAAUUAACUGUUCUUCCUCUGUCGCUCUGAAAACUUUCUG